UAACGGCCGCGGUAUUUUGACCGUGCAAGGUAGCGUAAUCACUUGUCUUUUAAAUGAAGACCCGUAUGAAAGGCAUCACGAGAGUUCAACUGUCUCUAUUUUCUAAUCAAUGAAAUUGAUCUACUCGUGCAGAAGCGAGUAUAACUACAUUAGACGAGAAGACCCUAUGGAGCUUCAAACACAUGAAUUAAAUAUGUAAACUAACUACUCCCCGGACAUAAAUAAAAUAAUAUUUUUAAUUUAACUGUUUUUGGUUGGGGUGACCAAGGGGAAAAAUAAAUCCCCCUUAUCGAUUGAGUACUCAAGUACUUAAAAAUCAGAAUUACAAUUCUGAUUAAUAAAAUAUUUAUCGAAAAAUGACCCAGGAUUUCCUGAUCAAUGAACCAAGUUACCCUAGGGAUAACAGCGCAAUCCUUUCUUAGAGUCCCUAUCGCCGAAAGGGUUUACGACCUCGAUGUUGGAUCAGGACAUCCUAAUGAUGCAACCGUUAUUAAGGGUUCGUUUGUUCAACGAUUAAUAGUCCUACGUGAUCUGAGU
RNAcentral lists this ribosomal RNA (537 nucleotides) under Alopias superciliosus (bigeye thresher). RNAcentral's name for it is "partial 16S ribosomal RNA". It matches the Rfam family "Bacterial large subunit ribosomal RNA", at positions 1925 to 2610 of the family's 2925-position model. The record is from RNAcentral. Lineage: Eukaryota; Metazoa; Chordata; Chondrichthyes; Lamniformes; Alopiidae.